Lingula anatina is the source of this 493-nucleotide long non-coding RNA. The record is from RefSeq and is a predicted model, not a curated record. Lineage: Eukaryota; Metazoa; Brachiopoda; Lingulata; Lingulida; Lingulidae.
AGGUGACAUCUACUGGAGACAGCUUUAUAGAGAUAACAUGGCGUGCGCCGUUCCCUCCAGGUGGCGUUAUCGUCAGUUACGAGAUAUCGUGCACUCAACAGUCCAGUCUUUGGAAUGAGACGGUGACUGCUGCAGACAUUACUAGUAUAACUAUUGGCAAUUUGCGGUUCAAGUCCACGUACUUGCUUCGAAUCCGCUGCAAAACUGCUGUCGGCUAUGGCGAAUAUAGUGAUGUAAUUUGGGCAACAACGGACGAAAAAGGUAUAAAUGGUGGCGCUGUAGCAGGAGGUGUGUUGGGGGUUCUUGUCCUGGUGGCGGUACUUGUGGUUGUGGUUGUCAUAUACAAAAGAAGACGACGCACUCAAGAGCUUUAUGAAGUUGAUGCCUUUUCUGAAUUGCAGAGAAAAGAAGCUUCAGAUCUAGAUGACCAUGUAUAUGAAUCUCCGGUUCAAAGUCUGUAUGAAAACACAGAAGACGAGUUUCUCUAUAGCAG